UCCUUUUGUUGAUAAUUUAAGGUCUAACCUGCCCACUGAGAUUUUAAAUGGCCGUGGUAUUUUGACCGUGCUAAGGUAGCAUAAUCAUUAGUUUUUUAAUUAAAAACUGGAAUGAAAGGUUGGAUAAGAAAAUAGCUGUCUCUGUUAAAUUUAAUUAGAAUUUUAUUUUUAAGUUAAAAAGCUUAAUUAUUAUUAAAAGACGAGAAGACCCUAUAGAGUUUAAUUAUUUAAUAAAAAAUAUAUUUUAGUAUUUAUUUAUUUAUUUUAUUGAAUAAUUUAAUUGGGGUGAUUGAAAAAUUUAUUUAACUUUUUUUAUUUUAAAACAUUAAUUUAUGAGUAUAUGAUCCAAUAUUUUUGAUUAUAAGAUAAAAUUACCUUAGGGAUAACAGCGUAAUUUUUUUAGAAAGUUCAUAUUAAAAAAAAAGAUUGCGACCUCGAUGUUGGAUUAAAAUAAAUUUUUGGUGUAGAAGCUAAAAAUAUUAGGUCUGUUCGACCUUUAAAAUUUUACAUGAUCU
This 515-nucleotide ribosomal RNA is filed under the name Oreina speciosissima. RNAcentral's name for it is "partial 16S ribosomal RNA". The stretch from base 382 to 515 matches the Rfam family "Bacterial large subunit ribosomal RNA", at positions 2473 to 2606 of the family's 2925-position model. Lineage: Eukaryota; Metazoa; Arthropoda; Insecta; Coleoptera; Chrysomelidae. The record is from RNAcentral.